CCUACGGGGGACAGCAGUCGAGAAUCAUUCACAAUGGGGGAAACCCUGAUGGUGCGACGCCGCGUGGGGGAAUGAAGGUCUUCGGAUUGUAAACCCCUGUCAUGUGGGAGCAAAUUAAAAAGAUAGUACCACAAGAGGAAGAGACGGCUAACUCUGUGCCAGCAGCCGCGGUAAUACAGAGGUCUCAAGCGUUGUUUGGAAUCACUGGGCGUAAAGCGUGCGUAGGCUGUUUCGUAAGUCGUGUGUGAAAGGCGCGGGCUCAACCCGCGGACGGCACAUGAUACUGCGAGACUAGAGUAGUGGAGGGGGAACCGGAAUUCUCGGUGUAGCAGUGAAAUGCGUAGAUAUCGAGAGGAACACUCGUGGCGAAGGCGGGUUCCUGGACAUUAACUGACGCUGAGGCACGAAGGCCAGGGGAGCGAAAGGGAUUAGAUACCCGUGUAGUC
Molecule: ribosomal RNA, 446 nt
Filed under: uncultured bacterium
Lineage: Bacteria
Description: partial 16S ribosomal RNA
Rfam family: Bacterial small subunit ribosomal RNA
Source: RNAcentral